RNAcentral lists this ribosomal RNA (508 nucleotides) under uncultured bacterium. RNAcentral describes it as "partial 16S ribosomal RNA". It matches the Rfam family "Bacterial small subunit ribosomal RNA", at positions 28 to 507 of the family's 1533-position model. The record is from RNAcentral.
GACGAACGCUGGCGGCGUGCCUAAUACAUGCAAGUCGAACGCUUCUUUCCUCCCGAGUGCUUGCACUCAAUUGGAAAGAGGAGUGGCGGACGGGUGAGUAACACGUGGGUAACCUACCCAUCAGAGGGGGAUAACACUUGGAAACAGGUGCUAAUACCGCAUAACAGUUUAUGCCGCAUGGCAUAAGAGUGAAAGGCGCUUUCGGGUGUCGUUGAUGGAUGGACCCGCGGUGCAUUAGCUAGUUGGUGAGGUAACGGCUCACCAAGGCCACGAUGCAUAGCCGACCUGAGAGGGUGAUCGGCCACACUGGGACUGAGACACGGCCCAGACUCCUACGGGAGGCAGCAGUAGGGAAUCUUCGGCAAUGGACGAAAGUCUGACCGAGCAACGCCGCGUGAGUGAAGAAGGUUUUCGGAUCGUAAAACUCUGUUGUUAGAGAAGAACAAGGACGUUAGUAACUGAACGUCCCGUGACGGUAUCUAACCAGAAAGCCACGGCUAACUACGUG